RNAcentral lists this ribosomal RNA (239 nucleotides) under uncultured bacterium. RNAcentral's name for it is "partial 16S ribosomal RNA". It matches the Rfam family "Bacterial small subunit ribosomal RNA", at positions 15 to 236 of the family's 1533-position model. The record is from RNAcentral.
GAUCAUGGCUCAGGAUGAACGCUGGCGGCGUGCUUAACACAUGCAAGUCGAGCGAAGCGGUUUCAAUGAAGUUUUCGGAUGGAUUUGAGAUUGACUUAGCGGCGGACGGGUGAGUAACGCGUGGGUAACCUGCCUUACACUGGGGGAUAACAGUUAGAAAUGACUGCUAAUACCGCAUAAGCGCACAGGGCCGCAUGGUCCGGUGUGAAAAACUCCGGCGGUGUAAGAUGGACCCGCGU